This 1393-nucleotide long non-coding RNA is filed under the name Daphnia pulex (common water flea). Its description in RNAcentral is "uncharacterized LOC124208005, transcript variant X2". Lineage: Eukaryota; Metazoa; Arthropoda; Branchiopoda; Diplostraca; Daphniidae. The record is from RNAcentral.
AGAUGUUCUUGUUUAUCAUGUGAUGGCGGAUUGUUGGGUGGUUGUCAAAAGUUUUGCUUAAUUUUUCCAUGAAAGUUACCGAUGAAUUCAUCAGUAAAUUCAAGUUUAUUUCUGUGCAACUUGUCUGUAAUGUGAUUUAUUCCGUAUGUGUGUUGGAUCACCUUACAUAUUUCUAUUAUUACGUGUAGCAUGCGUGUAGGAAGGAACGCGAAAGGCAACUGAAACUACAAGUAGCCUACCAUCAAUCCUUUGAUUAAAAUCGCCGUUCUGCUGAAUGCUUUAUCCUGUUGAUGAAGUUUCUAAUGAUGUUGGUAGAUCACUAACCCCAGCGUGGACAACACAUGUUGUUUUUUCAUGUUUUCUACAAAUAAUGCAUUGACAGACAAGCCAUGGGUAAUCUUCAGGUUAAUUGCAGCAACUUGUGACUUGGGAGAAGUCCUGUGAAAAGACACAGGGCACAUGACCAGAUUUGUGUUUUUCUGAAUGUUCUAUUCAAGUAGUAGUUAGUUGGAACCCUAACUCAAACACAGACAACACAUUGCUGCUGCCUUACGGCCACAGGCAGGAAAAUGAUUCUUUUCUUCAGAAAAUUGGAAAGCUGUUUGAGUAAUAAUCUGGUAUUCAUCCUCACUUGAUUCAUUUCGUGCCAGUUAGUGAAAGGCGUGAAGAAUUCAAGUUUAGCUGCUGCGUGCUGUCAGCAAGCAAGCAAUCCAAUUGAUGUCCACCAGGUGGCGCGAGUGUCUUCAAGGCCCCACUUCGGCCAUUUUGUUCCUUGACGUAGCUGAAGUGAGAUGCCGGUCGUGACGUUUCCCAAAAUGAAAAGGUGAUUGAUCUUACCACUUUGCCACCUGAAUUGAAAAUGCCUGUACAUUUGCCGAAAUGUCGUGCCUCGUGUGUCUCGCUGCCUGUACCCAGUCGUACGUCUUAUCCCAUGCAACAGCAAAAGUCUAACAACCACGCUGCAGCCAGAUGGUGAAAGGUGUGAUGAAGAAAAGUUCAACCGUUGUAUGCAGGAUGUGGUGCCAGUGUUAUCCAGAAGUAGCUGUGCUGGAGUUAUUCCGAAGCAGCUGAGCCAGAAUUUGUCCAAAUUGCUGACUUCAAAAUUUUAACUGCUUUCAUUUGUGUUUUUUUCUUUGCAAGUGGUAUCCGUGGUGCUGAUUUGAAAUAUUUUUAUCCCCUUUUAUUUGUGGUUUUGCUCUGCCGAUGAGUUUCUGACUUGAAUUGGUUUCAUCUGUCGUCUUUUGCGUUUUUACUUGGGCAGUAUACGAUUGUGGCAAACUGAUUCUAUGUCAGUUUUGAUACAGUCGACAACUGCUAGAUUAAAUUCCGGCUUUCCGCACCAACAAAAUAAUAACGGCACAUGUUAUUAUCGCGGUUGGGAAAGUCACAGGCC